Molecule: ribosomal RNA, 253 nt
Filed under: uncultured bacterium
Lineage: Bacteria
Description: partial 16S ribosomal RNA
Rfam family: Bacterial small subunit ribosomal RNA
Source: RNAcentral
UACAGAGGUCUCAAGCGUUGUUCGGAUUCAUUGGGCGUAAAGGGUGCGUAGGCUGUGAGGUAAGUCUGGUGUGAAAUCCCGGGGCUCAACCCCGGAACUGCACUGGAUACUGCUUUACUAGAGCACUGGAGAGGGAACUGGAAUUUACGGUGUAGCAGUGAAAUGCGUAGAGAUCGUAAGGAAGACCAGUGGCGAAGGCGGCAUCCUGGACCGGUAUUGACGCUGAGGCGCGAAAGCUAGGGUAGCAAACGGG